Non-coding RNA from Phascolarctos cinereus (koala), 537 nucleotides. The record is from RefSeq and is a predicted model, not a curated record. NCBI's taxonomy places the organism in Eukaryota, Metazoa, Chordata, Mammalia, Diprotodontia, Phascolarctidae.
CUUAAGAAAACCCCAAACGAGGCCACGAAGGGUUGAUGAAGACUGAAAUGACUGAACAGUGACAAGAAUGAAGAGUCAGCCUGGAAAAAAUAUGUUGGAGCCAGAUUGUGAAGGAUUUUAAAUGCCAAACAGAGGAGUUUUAUGUUAUCCUACGGGGAGUUCCUGAAGAAAAGGAGUGUGAUGUGGUCAGACUUGGGUUUUAGGAAUCUCAAAUCGGCAGCUAUGUGGAGGAUGGACUGCAGAGGGGAAGAGCCUGGAGUCAGUGACACCAGUUAGGAGACUUUGGACCAGGUGAGAGUUGGCUUUGCAAAUGCCCAUAAUGCCAGACCACAAGGUGGAAUAUCCCAGAAAGACCCAAGGUGGAGUGGAUGAUGGCAGAUCAUUCUGAAGAUGAUACAAUGUGCAGGCAAUACAUCUAUACCCACCCCUAAGCCUAGCUGACCUUUGAAAUGACCCCUUCCCUGCAAAUGGCAAGGGAGCUUCCUCCACUCUUACUCCACAUAGUAGUUCCAAAUUAUCUUCUUCCCUUUUACCACC